RNAcentral lists this ribosomal RNA (449 nucleotides) under uncultured bacterium. RNAcentral describes it as "partial 16S ribosomal RNA". It matches the Rfam family "Bacterial small subunit ribosomal RNA", at positions 29 to 523 of the family's 1533-position model. The record is from RNAcentral.
AGCGAACGCUGGCGGCAGGCCUAACACAUGCAAGUCGAACGGACCCUUCGGGGUUAGUGGCGGACGGGUGAGUAACACGUGGGAACGUGCCUUUAGGUUCGGAAUAGCUCCUGGAAACGGGUGGUAAUGCCGAAUGUGCCCUUCGGGGGAAAGAUUUAUCGCCUUUAGAGCGGCCCGCGUCUGAUUAGCUAGUUGGUGAGGUAAAGGCUCACCAAGGCUACGAUCAGUAGCUGGUCUGAGAGGAUGGCCAGCCACAUUGGGACUGAGACACGGCCCAAACUCCUACGGGAGGCAGCAGUGGGGAAUCUUGCGCAAUGGGCGAAAGCCUGACGCAGCCAUGCCGCGUGUAUGAUGAAGGUCUUAGGAUUGUAAAAUACUUUCACCGGUGAAGAUAAUGACUGUAGCCGGAGAAGAAGCCCCGGCUAACUCCGUGCCAGCCGCCGCAGUAA